GCCGGGCGCAGUGGCGCACACCUGUCAUCCCAGCUGCUCAGGAGGCUGAGGCAGGAGGAUCACGAGUUCAGGGCCAGCCUGGGCAGGUUAGUGAGACCCUGACUCAA
This 107-nucleotide small RNA is filed under the name Marmota monax (woodchuck). Lineage: Eukaryota; Metazoa; Chordata; Mammalia; Rodentia; Sciuridae. The record is from RNAcentral.